AUGAUUAAAAACGCCCAGAAAAACAAACUGAUCAUGGGACUAGCUUCCGAUCUGAUUCAGGAUGGGGUCGCGGUGUUACAGAAUGCGGAUGAUAGUAUUAUCUGCUUGGAACAUGACAUAGAAAAAGCGGUCAACCUGAAGUUGUUGCUUUAUAUUUUUGAAAUGAUGUCUGGCCUCAAGGUGAAUUUUCAAAAAAGUGAAAUCCUUACUGUGGGUGGAGAUGACAAUGUUGUUAGAGAAUAUGCUGAAUUGUUUAAUUGUGAUAUUGGGAGUUUCCCUAUUAAGUACUUAGGGAUGCCUGUGAGCUACACCAAUUUACGCAACUCUGAUUGGGAGUUCAUUCUGAUUAAGUAUCUUAAGAGAUUCGAAGCCUAG
RNAcentral lists this ribosomal RNA (375 nucleotides) under Triticum aestivum (bread wheat). RNAcentral's name for it is "partial small subunit ribosomal RNA". Lineage: Eukaryota; Viridiplantae; Streptophyta; Magnoliopsida; Poales; Poaceae. The record is from RNAcentral.